This 438-nucleotide ribosomal RNA is filed under the name uncultured bacterium. RNAcentral describes it as "partial 16S ribosomal RNA". It matches the Rfam family "Bacterial small subunit ribosomal RNA", at positions 339 to 795 of the family's 1533-position model. The record is from RNAcentral.
CUACGGGGGGCUCCAGUGAGGAAUUUUCCACAAUGGGCGAAAGCCUGAUGGAGCGACGCCGUGUGAGCGAUGAAGUCUUUCGGGAUGUAAAGCUCUGUCAGAGGGGACGAUAUUGACGGUACCCUCAGAGGAAGCCCCGGCUAACUACGUGCCAGCAGCCGCGGUAAUACGUAGGGGGCGAGCGUUGUCCGGAAUUACUGGGCGUAAAGCGUGCGUAGGUGGUAUGUUAAGUCAGGUGUAAAAGGUUGCGGCUCAACCGCAUCAUGCAUUUGAUACUGGCGUACUUGAGAGAUACAGAGGAAAGCGGAACUUACGGUGUAGCGGUGAAAUGCGUAGAUAUCGUAAGGAACACCAGUGGCGAAGGCGGCUUUCUGGGUAUUUUCUGACACUGAGGCACGAAAGCUAGGGGAGCAAACGGGAUUAGAUACCCGGGUAGUC